CCUACGGGAGGCAGCAGUGAGGAAUAUUGGUCAAUGGGCGGGAGCCUGAACCAGCCAAGUCGCGUGAGGGAAGAAGGUACAGCGUAUCGUAAACCUCUUUUGUCAGGGAACAAAGGCGGGGACUAGUCCCCGGAUGAGGGUACCUGAUGAAAAAGCAUCGGCUAACUCCGUGCCAGCGGCCGCGGUAAUACGGAGGGUGCGAGCGUUAUCCGGAUUUUUUGGGUUUAAAGGUUGCGCAGGCGGCCUGUUAAGUCAGCGGUAAAAGGCCGGGGCUCAACCCCAGAGAGACGUUGAAACUGGCUGGAUGGAGUUGGAGAGAGGUACGCGGAAUUCGCGGUGUAGCGGUGAAAUGCUUAGAUAUCGCGCAGAACCCCGAUUGCGAAGGCAGCGUACCGGCUUCACACUGACGCGGAGGCACGAAAGCGUGGGUAUCGAACAGGAUUAGAUACCCCGGUAGUC
Molecule: ribosomal RNA, 459 nt
Filed under: uncultured bacterium
Lineage: Bacteria
Description: partial 16S ribosomal RNA
Rfam family: Bacterial small subunit ribosomal RNA
Source: RNAcentral